Molecule: ribosomal RNA, 253 nt
Filed under: uncultured bacterium
Lineage: Bacteria
Description: partial 16S ribosomal RNA
Rfam family: Bacterial small subunit ribosomal RNA
Source: RNAcentral
UACGAAGGGGGCUAGCGUUGCUCGGAAUUACUGGGCGUAAAGGGCGCGUAGGCGGAUAGUUUAGUCAGAGGUGAAAGCCCAGGGCUCAACCUUGGAAAUGCCUUUGAUACUGGCUAUCUUGAGUACGGGAGAGGUGUGUGGAACUCCGAGUGUAGAGGUGAAAUUCGUAGAUAUUCGGAAGAACACCGGUGGCGAAGGCGACACACUGGCCCGUUACUGACGCUGAGGCGCGAAAGCGUGGGGAGCAAACAGG